This 320-nucleotide ribosomal RNA is filed under the name uncultured eukaryote. RNAcentral's name for it is "partial 18S ribosomal RNA". It matches the Rfam family "Eukaryotic small subunit ribosomal RNA", at positions 1470 to 1796 of the family's 1831-position model. The record is from RNAcentral.
CCCCUAGAUGUUCUUGGCCGCACGCGCGCUACACUGAACAGUUCAACAAGUCUUAACCUUGGCCGAUAGGUCUGGGUAAUCUUUGAACGCUGUUCGUGAUUGGGAUAGACCUUUGCAAUUAUGGGUCUUCAACGAGGAAUUCCUAGUAAACGCAAGUCAUCAGCUUGCAUUGAUUACGUCCCUGCCCUUUGUACACACCGCCCGUCGCACCUACCGAUUGAAUGGUCCGGUGAAAUCUCGGGACGGCGGCUUGGUCGCUUGCGUCCGACUGCUGAAACUUGAUUAAACCAUAUCAUUUAGAGGAAGGUGAAGUCGUAACA